This 492-nucleotide ribosomal RNA is filed under the name uncultured bacterium. Its description in RNAcentral is "partial 16S ribosomal RNA". It matches the Rfam family "Bacterial small subunit ribosomal RNA", at positions 28 to 507 of the family's 1533-position model. The record is from RNAcentral.
GAUGAACGCUGGCGGCGUGCUUAACACAUGCAAGUCGAACGGGAGCCCAGGGGUGCUUGCACUUUUUGGGGAGAGUGGCGAACGGGUGAGUAACACGUGAGUAACCUGUCCUUUUCGUUGGGAUAAGCAUUCGGAAGGGUGUUUAAUACCUGAUGUUCUGUCUGCCUCGCAUGGGGGGGAUGGGAAAGGCUUGGGCCGGUGUUGGGGGGGCUGGCGGUCUAGCUGGUUGGCGGGGGGGUGGUGGACUAAGGCGGCGUUCGGGGGUUGGUGUGAGGGGAUGGUGAGGGGGGUUGGAACUCAGACGGGGUCCAGACCCCUACGGGAGGCAGCGGGGGGGAAUAUUGGGCGAUGGGGGCAAGCCGGAUCCAGCCAUACCGCGUGGGUGAAGAAGGGGUUCGGGUUGUAAAGCGCUUUUGUUGUGAAAGAAAAGCAGCAGGUGAAUACCCCGCUGUUCUGACGGUACCCAAAGAAUAAGCACCGGCUAACUUCGUG